Molecule: ribosomal RNA, 1550 nt
Filed under: Xenorhabdus sp. XB
Lineage: Bacteria; Pseudomonadati; Pseudomonadota; Gammaproteobacteria; Enterobacterales; Morganellaceae
Description: bacterial SSU rRNA
Rfam family: Bacterial small subunit ribosomal RNA
Source: RNAcentral
UAGUAUAGUUUUUUUUUUUUGGUCAGAUUGAACGCUGGCGGCAGGCCUAACACAUGCAAGUCGGGCGGUAACAGGAAGCAGCUUGCUGCUUUGCUGACGAGCGGCGGACGGGUGAGUAAUGUCUGGGGAUCUGCCCGAUGGAGGGGGAUAACCACUGGAAACGGUGGCUAAUACCGCAUAACCUCUGAGGAGCAAAGUGGGGGACCUUCGGGCCUCACGCCAUCGGAUGAACCCAGAUGGGAUUAGCUAGUAGGUGGGGUAACGGCUCACCUAGGCGACGAUCCUUAGCUGGUCUGAGAGGAUGACCAGCCAACCACUUGGACUGAGACACGGGCCCAGACUCCUACGGGAGGCAGCAGUGGGGAAUAUUGCACAAUGGGCGCAAGCCUGAUGCAGCCAUGCCGCGUGUAUGAAGAAGGCUUUCGGGUUGUAAAGUACUUUCAGCGGGGAGGAAGGCGUGAAGUCGAAUACACUUCACGAUUGACGUUACCCGCAGAAGAAGCACCGGCUAACUCCGUGCCAGCAGCCGCGGUAAUACGGAGGGUGCAAGCGUUAAUCGGAAUUACUGGGCGUAAAGCGCACGCAGGCGGUCAAUUUAAGUUAGAUGUGAAAUCCCCGGGCUUAACCUGGGAACUGCAUCUAAGACUGGUUGACUAGAGUCUCGUAGAGGGGGGGUAGAAUUCCACGUGGUAGCGGUGAAAUGCGUAGAAGAUGUGGAGGAAUACCCGGUGGCGAAGGCGGCCCCCUGGACGAGAGACUGACGCUCCAGGUGCGAAAGCGUGGGGAGCAAACAGGAUUUAGAAUACCCUGGUAGUCCACGCCGUUAAAACGAUGUCGACUUGGAGGGUUGUGGCCUUGAGCCGUGGCUUCCGGAGCUAACGCGUUAAAGUCGACCGCCUGGGGGAGUACGGUCGCAAGAUUAAAACUCAAAUGAAUUGACGGGGGCCCGCACAAGCGGUGGAGCAUGUGGUUUAAUUCGAUGCAACGCGAAGAACCUUACCUACUCUUGACAUCCAGCGAAUCCUUCAGAGAUGAGGGAGUGCCUUCGGGAACGCUGAGACAGGUGCUGGCAUGGCUGUCGUCAGCUCGUGUUGUGAAAUGUUGGGGGUUAAGUCCCGCAACGAGCGCAACCCUUAUCCUUUGUUGCCAGCACAUUCAUGGUGGGAACUCAAGGGAGACUGCCGGUGAUAAACCGGAGGAAAGGGGUGGGGAAGUAAACGUCAAGGCUCAUCAUGGCCCUUAACCGAGUAGGGGCUACACACGUGCUACAAAUGGCAGAUACAAAGAGAAGCGACCUCGCGAGAGCUAAGCGGAACUCAUAAAGUCUGUCGUAAGUCCCGGAUUGGAGUCUGCAACUCGACUCCAUGAAGUCGGAAUCGCUAGUAAUCGUAGAUCAGAAUGCUACAGUGAAUACGUUCCCGGGCCUUGUACACACCGCCCGUCACACCAUGGGAGUGGGUUGCAAAAGAAGUAGGUAGCUUAACCUUCGGGAGGGCGCUUACCACUUUGUGAUUCAUGACUGGGGUGAAGUCGUAAAGGCAAAACCGUAA